CUUGACAUCCCGAUGCUAUUUCUAGAGAUAGAAAGUUACUUCGGUGCAUCGGUGACAGGUGGUGCAUGGUUGUCGUCAGCUCGUGUCGUGAGAUGUUGGGUUAAGUCCCGCAACGAGCGCAACCCCUAUUGUUAGUUGCCAUCAUUCAGUUGGGCACUCUAGCGAGACUGCCGGUAAUAAACCGGAGGAAGGUGGGGAUGACGUCAAAUCAUCAUGCCCCUUAUGACCUGGGCUACACACGUGCUACAAUGGUUGGUACAACGAGUUGCGAGUCGGUGACGGCGAGCUAAUCUCUUAAAGCCAAUCUCAGUUCGGAUAGUAGUCUGCAACUCGACUACUUGAAGUCGGAAUCGCUAGUAAUGGCGGAUCAGCAUGCCGCCGUGAAUACGUUCCCGGGUCUU
RNAcentral lists this ribosomal RNA (401 nucleotides) under uncultured Streptococcus sp. RNAcentral's name for it is "bacterial SSU rRNA". It matches the Rfam family "Bacterial small subunit ribosomal RNA", at positions 980 to 1382 of the family's 1533-position model. Lineage: Bacteria; Bacillati; Bacillota; Bacilli; Lactobacillales; Streptococcaceae. The record is from RNAcentral.